This 64-nucleotide transfer RNA is filed under the name Tachaea chinensis. RNAcentral's name for it is "tRNA-Asn". The record is from RNAcentral. Lineage: Eukaryota; Metazoa; Arthropoda; Malacostraca; Isopoda; Corallanidae.
UAUACUAAAACCAAAACAGAGGUAAAUCUUUGUUAAAGAUUUUAUUGGAAUGAACCUAAUAUUA